RNAcentral lists this ribosomal RNA (431 nucleotides) under uncultured bacterium. Its description in RNAcentral is "partial 16S ribosomal RNA". It matches the Rfam family "Bacterial small subunit ribosomal RNA", at positions 29 to 507 of the family's 1533-position model. The record is from RNAcentral.
AGCGAACGCUGGCGGCAGGCUUAACACAUGCCAGUCGAGCGCCCCGCCAGGGGAGCGGCCGACGGGAGAGUAACACGUGGGAACAUACCUUUUGGUUCGGAACAACUGAGGGAAACUUCAGCUAAUACCGGAUAAGCCCUUACGGGGAAAGAUUUAUCGCCGAAAGAUUGGCCCGCGUCUGAUUAGCUAGUUGGUGAGGUAACGGCUCACCAAGGCGACGAUCAGUAGCUGGUCUGAGAGGAUGAUCAGCCUCACUGGGACUGAGACACGGCCCAGACUCCUACGGGAGGCAGCAGUGGGGAAUAUUGGACAAUGGGGGCAACCCUGAUCCAGCCAUGCCGCGUGAGUGAUGAAGGCCUUAGGGUUGUAAAGCUCUUUUGCCCGGGAAGAUAAUGACGGUACCGGGAGAAUAAGCCCCGGCUAACUUCGUG